UUGAUCACUUUCCAUCCUGCCUCUAGUUGCUGGUUGCUGAAAUUCACAUGGAUAGUCUUGCUACCUGAAAGGAUUGGAGCAACAUGAGCAAAAUUCCGACCAGAGGUACAACUCCCCUUGAUGAUGGGAUCAAGGAGCAGGGGCGUAGAUUUAAGAAAUCUGACUAUGAUCGGAUGAAUCAAGACAGAGGACAAAGUAGCAAACUUUUCGAUGCAACUUAGAAGGCAUCCGGUCCAGAUGGAUCAACUGCUCUGCUCAAGACCACAAGAAAUUACAGAGAGUUGGGAGCACAAUCCAAUUCAUCAUACAAACCAACCUUCCUUUCAUUGACUUCAUCCACAAUUCCCAUGGCCAUUGGAAAGCAGCCAACAUCUUCAAAGACCCUUCCCACCCGAGCUAUACAUUGUUUCACUCGCUUCCAUCAGGCAAAAGAUAUAAUAGCUUGAAAACAUGCAGAAACAGAUUCAAGAACAGCUUCUUCCUCGCUGUUAUCAGACUCAUGAAUGGCUCUCCUGUGUAGUAGACUUGAUUAUUCUCUGCACCUUCUCUAUCAUUGUAACACUACAUUCAAUGUUCUCUUCUAUUACCCUGAUGUAUUUACGUAAGGUAUGAUCUGUCCAGAACACACGCAAAACAAUCUUUUUCGCUUUUUAUCAGUGCAUGCGACAAUAAUAAAUGAAAUAAAAUGGAACCCA
This is a non-coding RNA of Chiloscyllium plagiosum (whitespotted bambooshark), 695 nucleotides long. Lineage: Eukaryota; Metazoa; Chordata; Chondrichthyes; Orectolobiformes; Hemiscylliidae. The record is from RefSeq and is a predicted model, not a curated record.